GGUAUCAUAGCUCAGUCGGUAGAGCAAAGGACUGAAAAUCCUUGUGUCGCUGGUUCGAUCCCAGCUGAUACCACCA
RNAcentral lists this transfer RNA (76 nucleotides) under Mucilaginibacter pankratovii. Its description in RNAcentral is "Mucilaginibacter sp. ZT4R22 tRNA-Phe". It matches the Rfam family "tRNA". Rfam says of the family: Transfer RNA (tRNA) molecules are approximately 80 nucleotides in length. Their secondary structure includes four short double-helical elements and three loops (D, anti-codon, and T loops). The record is from RNAcentral. Lineage: Bacteria; Pseudomonadati; Bacteroidota; Sphingobacteriia; Sphingobacteriales; Sphingobacteriaceae. RNAcentral also lists the same sequence under 3 other names.